UGCCUAUUGUGGUCCAAUAUCCAAACUCUAAAAGCACAUUAAAUUCAGCAUGUCCAAGAAAACCAUUAAUUUCAUUUAUGUAUUAAUAAGUGGGCAACAUUAGCAAAGUUUUUAAAAAUCUCCAUAAAGGAAAUUUAUAAGUGAUCAACCUCUACAAGGAUCAACUGUCCACAACCUCAAUUACUCAAAUGUAUUCUACAAAGUUUUAUAUUUACACCCAUGUAUAGAAACUAUUCUGUUUUAAGUGGGUACUACAUUGUUCUUUCCUGUAUGUUCUGUUUUAACAGGCCCAAUUUGAUGAUGCUACAUAUUACAAAGUUUAACCAAAUUGUUUUUGCACAGAACUCUGCUGAAGUCGGAGCUAUGGGCUGUCUUACACUUGCUGUGAGGUAAUUUGUUUUCUAUGUUAUGAA
Molecule: long non-coding RNA, 413 nt
Filed under: Mytilus galloprovincialis (Mediterranean mussel)
Lineage: Eukaryota; Metazoa; Mollusca; Bivalvia; Mytilida; Mytilidae
Source: RNAcentral